UACGGAGGGUGCAAGCGUUGUCCGGAUUUAUUGGGUUUAAAGGGUGCGUAGGCGGCCCUGUAAGUCAGUGGUGAAAUACUGCAGCUUAACUGUAGCAUUGCCAUUGAUACUGUAGGGCUUGAGUACAGAUGAGGUAGGCGGAAUUGAUGGUGUAGCGGUGAAAUGCAUAGAUACCAUCAAGAACACCGAUUGCGAAGGCAGCUUACUAAGCUGUAACUGACGCUGAGGCACGAAAGCGUAGGGAUCGAACAGG
RNAcentral lists this ribosomal RNA (253 nucleotides) under uncultured bacterium. Its description in RNAcentral is "partial 16S ribosomal RNA". It matches the Rfam family "Bacterial small subunit ribosomal RNA", at positions 524 to 776 of the family's 1533-position model. The record is from RNAcentral.